GUUUGGCAAGGAUGAUGAAUCAAUUAGAUGUGUGAAAGGUAUUACUCCUUUGUGAACUCAGACUUUUGAGGCAUUUAAAUUGUCUGACUUGCCUGCC
Morus notabilis is the source of this 97-nucleotide non-coding RNA. The record is from Rfam. NCBI's taxonomy places the organism in Eukaryota, Viridiplantae, Streptophyta, Magnoliopsida, Rosales, Moraceae.